GACGAACGCUGGCGGCGUGCUUAACACAUGCAAGUCGAACGGAAAGGCCCUGCUUUUGUGGGGUGCUCGAGUGGCGAACGGGUGAGUAACACGUGAGUAACCUGCCCUUGACUUUGGGAUAACUUCAGGAAACUGGGGCUAAUACCGGAUAGGAGCUCCUGCUGCAUGGUGGGGGUUGGAAAGUUUCGGCGGUUGGGGAUGGACUCGCGGCUUAUCAGCUUGUUGGUGGGGUAGUGGCUUACCAAGGCUUUGACGGGUAGCCGGCCUGAAAGGGUGACCGGCCACAUUGGGACUGAGAUACGGCCCAGACUCCUACGGGAGGCAGCAGUGGGGAAUAUUGCACAAUGGGCGGAAGCCUGAUGCAGCAACGCCGCGUGCGGGAUGACGGCCUUCGGGUUGUAAACCGCUUUCGCCUGUGACGAAGUGUGAGUGACGGUAAUGGGUAAAGAAGCACCGGCUAACUACGUG
RNAcentral lists this ribosomal RNA (468 nucleotides) under uncultured bacterium. RNAcentral describes it as "partial 16S ribosomal RNA". It matches the Rfam family "Bacterial small subunit ribosomal RNA", at positions 28 to 507 of the family's 1533-position model. The record is from RNAcentral.